Molecule: ribosomal RNA, 2626 nt
Filed under: Candidatus Roizmanbacteria bacterium CG22_combo_CG10-13_8_21_14_all_33_16
Lineage: Bacteria; Candidatus Roizmaniibacteriota
Description: partial 23S ribosomal RNA
Rfam family: Bacterial large subunit ribosomal RNA
Source: RNAcentral
GAAGAGAUAAUGCUAAUGGUGGAUGCCUUGGCAGUUUGAGCCUAAGAAGGACGCGUGCUUAAACGCGAUAACAUCGGUGAGUCUUUUAGCAGACAUUAUUAACCGGUGGUUUCCGAAUGGGGCAACCUAUUCNNNNNNNNNNNNNNNNNNNNNNNNNNNNNNNNNNNNNNNNNNNNNNNNNNNNNNNNNNNNNNNNNNUCAGUAACCAGAGGAAAAGAAAUCAUACAAAGUCCCGAGAGCAAUCGAGGGAUGAGAUUCCGUUAGUAGCGGUGAGCGAAAGCGGAGCAGUCUAAAGUCUUGACGCAAGUCGAGAGCUAUGCGGGAGCAAUACGUGGAGUGAUUAAGUUAGAAAAAUGUUCUGGAAAGGACAACCAAAGAGAGUGAUAGUCUCGUAUUUAAAAACUUUAAUCACCCUAGUUGCAUUCCCAAGUACCACGAGGCACGGCAAACCUUGUGGGAAGCCGGGUCGGUCACGAUCCAAGACUAAAUACUCAAACUGACCGAUAGUGAACUAGUACCGUGAGGGAAAGGCGAAAAGAACCCCGAUAAGGGGAGUGAAAUAGAACCUGAAACCAUUAGCUAACAAACAGUGAGAGCUUGUCCUUCGGACAAGGAAUUUAAAAUUUUUAAUUUUUAAUUUUUAAUCAAUUUUUAAAUUGUUUUUAAAUUUUAAAUUUCAAAUUAAAAAUUUCUCGUCUGGAGGAUGAGUGAUCACGUGCCUAUCGAAGAAUGAGCCAGCGAGUGUUUGUUUAUUGCAAGUUUAAUCCCGAUUAUUCGGGAAGAGGCGAAGGGAAACCGAGUCCGAACAGGGCGAUUAGCAAUUGACAAACGACCCGAAACUGGGUGAGCUAACCAUGAGCAGGGUGAGUCUCAAUGAAAGUUGAGAGGAGGCCCGAACUCGUCGUCGGUGAAAUGACGUGAGAUGACUUGUGGUUAGGGGUAAUAUGCCUAUCGAACCCAGAAAUAACUGGUUCUCCCCGAGAUAUAUUUAGGUAUAGCCUUCUGUGUUUAAGUUGCGGGGUAGAGCGACUAGAUGUCCCACCAAGCGUAAGCGAGGCGGGAUAACUAAACUCCGAAUACGCAACAAUAUAGCAGAGGAGUCAGUCCCACCGGGAUAAGCCGGUGAGGGCGAGAGGGAAACAUCCCAGAUUCCCGUCUAAGGUUCCUAAAUGAUUUUUUCAGUGUAAAGGCCGUUUAAUUUCCAAUACAGCUGGUAGGUUGGCUCAGAAGCAGCCAUCCUUUAAAGAGUGCGUAACAGCUCACCUGAAUAUACCCCGCUUUUGCGGGGUUGGAGAUUUUGCGCCUAAAAUGAUCGGACCUAAAGAGUCUACCGAAGACGGAAGGAAGCACCAUACGGCGCCUCCGGUAGGGGAGCUUUCUUAUUGCAGUGAAGCGAUAUUGUAAGAUGUCGUGGAGCGAUAAGAAGUGAGAAUGCUGGCAUAAGUAGUGAAUCUUCCAAUGAAAACUUGGAAUGUCGAAUACCCAAGGUUUCCUCAGCAAUGUCAAUCAUCUGAGGGUUAAUCGGAUCUAAGUUAUCCGUCUUCUUGGCGGAUAGCGAUGUACAAGCCGUUAAUAUUCGGCUAUCACUUAUAAGACGUUAUUAACUUUAAGUAUGACGAAAUAUGAAAAUUCGGACCUGGUGAAAACUGGGCCUAAGUUUUUAGUUUUAACGCAAGUUAAAAUGAGAAGCAAAUGCAAAUUCAACUUUGUUGGAUGAGCUGAUAAAUUUAUGUUUCCGAGAAAAGCAUUUAAAGUGAGUUUUAUAAGUGUCCGUACCGCAAACCGACACAGGUGGGUUGGUGGAGUACACUAAGACAUACGGGUAAUAAUAGUUUAAGGAACUCGGCAAACAAACUGAGCGUAAGCUAUGCAAGAUGCUCUGUCCUAACGUAAAGUUAGGAUUGCAACUAAAGUCUGUCAACCGACUGUUUAGCUAAAACACAGGUUCCUGCAAACCCCAAUAGGGGAAGUAUAGGAGCCGCGACCUGUCCAGUACUGGUAAGUUAAUCGUUGAGGCUGACUAUAGCGAGCAAUCUCUAUAGAAGGUUUUGGCGCAAGCUCCAGUGAACGACAGCUCUAACCCUGAGAGUUCUAAGGUAGCGUAACCCCUUGCCGGGUAAGUUCCGGCCCGCAUGAAAGGUUUAACGAGUUGACAACUGUCUUAAACUAUUGCCCGACGAAAUUGAAAUGGCUGUGAAGAUGCGGCCUACCUGCACCUGGACAAAAAGACCCCAAGAGCUUUACUGAAGUUAGACAUUGGUGGAUGGAAAUUGACUGUUGAGCGUAGGAGGGAAGCUGACGCAAGUUGGUUGUCAAUGAAACACCUCUCUUCGAUUUUUAUUCACCUUAAUCCUGCGCAAGCGGGACGACAGUGUUUGACGGUCAGUUUAACUGGGGCGGUUUCCUCCAAAAUUGUAACGGAGGAGCGCAAAGGUUAGCUUGCUGCGUAUAGAAAUCGCAGUGUAAGUGCAAACUCAUAUGCUAGCUUAACUGUGAGGAUGACUAUCCAAACAGAUGCGAAAGCAGGCGUUAGUGAUCCCCCAUUCCAAAGUGAUUUUGGAAGGGGCUUAACGGAUAAAAGCUACCUUGGGGAUAACAGGCUGGUCUCGCCCGAGAGUUCAUAUCG